This 483-nucleotide ribosomal RNA is filed under the name uncultured bacterium. Its description in RNAcentral is "partial 16S ribosomal RNA". It matches the Rfam family "Bacterial small subunit ribosomal RNA", at positions 30 to 506 of the family's 1533-position model. The record is from RNAcentral.
AUUGAACGCUGGCGGAAUGCUUUACACAUGCAAGUCGAACGGCAGCACGGGGGCAACCCUGGUGGCGAGUGGCGAACGGGUGAGUAAUACAUCGGAACGUGCCCGGUCGUGGGGGAUAACGUAGCGAAAGUUACGCUAAUACCGCAUACGAUCUGAGGAUGAAAGCGGGGGACCUUCGGACCUCGCGCGAUCGGAGCGGCCGAUGUCAGAUUAGGUAGUUGGUGGGGUAAAGGCCUACCAAGCCGACGAUCUGUAGCUGGUCUGAGAGGACGACCAGCCACACUGGGACUGAGACACGGCCCAGACUCCUACGGGAGGCAGCAGUGGGGAAUUUUGGACAAUGGGCGCAAGCCUGAUCCAGCCAUUCCGCGUGCAGGACGAAGGCCUUCGGGUUGUAAACUGCUUUUGUAUGGAACGAAAAGGCUCUGGCUAAUACCUGGGGCUCAUGACGGUACCGUAAGAAUAAGCACCGGCUAACUACGU